Molecule: long non-coding RNA, 1521 nt
Filed under: Vigna radiata
Lineage: Eukaryota; Viridiplantae; Streptophyta; Magnoliopsida; Fabales; Fabaceae
Description: long non-coding RNA (VRAD_LNC013788)
Source: RNAcentral
UCGAAUUUUAAUUUUGGAUAAGUGAAGAGUACAGGUCCCUGAGUUGCUCCAUUGAUGGGUCACUACAUACAUUCAAUCUAAUUUACAAGCUUUUUACCUAACAUUUAUAGCUAAAUGUUGAACUCUACUCCACAUGGUGGUCCAUCUCUUUUUUAUCCAUACCUUCAGACCCCAAUUUUUUCAAGUAAGAAACCAAUCCCAGCCAUGAAUUAAUUACCUAAAAUAAUAGUCAUUGAGCCAAUACAAAGCUUAAAUCCUACAGACAUGUAUCUGUAAUUAAACAUCUGCACAUGAAAUAUUCAAACAAAAGUUCUGGUGUCAAUUUCCACACAAGCUAGAAAGGGAUAGAAAGAGAAAGAACAUAGAAAAUAAAACAAAUAUUUUCACAGGAAUUGAAGUUUAGCAUCUUAAUGUGGGCAUGCAUGAGGAAGUGAGAGAGAGGGACAGAAGUAAAAUUAGGAUAUAAACAAAAUGAUGACGAUGAGAUGAUGAUGAUGAUGAAACAUAUAAAUCCAUGUAUAUGAAAAAUAGGCAUGUUGAGAGAGAAAGGAUAAAACGAUCUGUGAGAUGUGUGAGAUGUGAGAUGGAGUUGAUCGAUCAUAAGAGGAUAUAGAUAGAUAGAUAGAUAUAGAUAGCCCUACCAAAAUAGCCAUUAGGCAAUGCAUACAGAUGGGACAAAAUGAUCUGAUGAGGGAGAGUUUAUCAAAAGGACAAAACAUCAUUCAUCUAUCACAGACUCGAUGAUCCAAAAAAUCUGCCACCACCAUGGGAUAAAGGGAGACCACAGAAAUAGAGGGUGGGACCAUAUGUAAGGGAACGGGGACACAUUCAAAUCAACCAGAUUGCUGAGAAAAGGAACUUUAUUCAGUGGUGGUGAGCUCACCCAAUAAUUCUAUUUGAAGACCAUGUAUAACUAAAUGUAAGAGACACAUCAAGUGUAUGUAUAUAUAUAUAAAAAAAAGGGUAUAUAGGUUAAGCAUGCAGCUAGGUAGGUAGCUGUUUAAGCAUAUGUUAUCACAGUUUGAAGCAAUAGAGAAAGAAAAGAUGAACCCUAAUGAAAAUGAGAUGAGUGAAAUGGAAAAGUAAAUAAGAAAAGAAAUGAAGAAGAGCAGAGAGGGUCUGAGAAAACCGUUGGGCUAUGUUGGUGUUAGGUCGCUGUCGAAGCAUGAAUUGCGUAGGGUGUAGGAAGAUUAGCCUUUGUAGAGGGUAGAGGGGUUAUUGGUGUAGUUUCAUUUAUUCAUGUAUUGUAAACAUGUCUUGGCUUUUGUUUCUCGCUUUUGUUGCUUUCCAGUACUGCAAAAAUUGUAUGAGUAUAAUUAUGAUGGAGUUAUCUGCCAUAUGCCCCCCUUUCCCUUUUCUCUCCUUCCACCGUUUCCUGCAUUAACUUCUCUCAUCCAUACAUCAAUUUUCACCUUUCUCUCCCUGUCACUCUCUUCACUUUUUAUACUAUCACUAACAACUCAAACACCUCCACUUCUUCUAUUCUAUGCAAUCUCUCUCUUCCAUUUCUCUUCUCAAAUA